CAUUACCGAUAUGGUGAUCUCUUCACGGCCGUAAGUCCGCUUGAGAGCCGGGCCGUUGCCGUCGAGCGAGCCCUGGACGACUGUGAAGGGCGAUGGAGGGUUGAUUUUUGGGGGAGGGUUCAUUUUCUGGACAUCGAUAUAGUGUUCCUUGAGGGACCGCAGGAUAACGGUGUCGACGGCGGUGGAAGGGGAUGCGGUGGUUGAGUGGGGGCGUGCUAUCGUGCGCCACGGGUGGUGAAGUGCGGCACCGAAGCCUCUUGCCGCUGCUGUUGCUAUGGCUUUCCUCCACAUUUUUGUCUGUGAUUUCGGCAGUGGCUCUACGUCCCACUGCGACGGUGCCGGCUUCUGCUUCUACCACCUAAGCGGCUUUUCUCCAAAGUUCGAAAACCGUCGCCCCUUCUUUGUAAU
Molecule: long non-coding RNA, 408 nt
Filed under: Malus domestica (apple)
Lineage: Eukaryota; Viridiplantae; Streptophyta; Magnoliopsida; Rosales; Rosaceae
Description: long non-coding RNA (MDOM_LNC006541)
Source: RNAcentral